This 253-nucleotide ribosomal RNA is filed under the name uncultured bacterium. RNAcentral's name for it is "partial 16S ribosomal RNA". It matches the Rfam family "Bacterial small subunit ribosomal RNA", at positions 524 to 776 of the family's 1533-position model. The record is from RNAcentral.
CACGUAGGGGACGAGCGUUGUCCGGAUUCAUUGGGCGUAAAGCGCGCGUAGGCGGAUCGCUAAGUCAGGGGUGAAAUCCCAGGGCUCAACCCUGGAACUGCCUUUGAUACUGACGAUCUGGAGAUCGGGAGAGGUUGGUGGAAUUCCGAGUGUAGAGGUGAAAUUCGUAGAUAUUCGGAGGAACACCAGAAGCGAAGGCGGCCAACUGGCCCGAUACUGACGCUGAGGCGCGAAAGCGUGGGGAGCGAACAGG